Molecule: long non-coding RNA, 2908 nt
Organism: Malania oleifera
Lineage: Eukaryota; Viridiplantae; Streptophyta; Magnoliopsida; Santalales; Ximeniaceae
Exons: 2
Source: RefSeq, a predicted model, not a curated record
ACACUAAACCCUAGCUCUGGCCUCCCUCGCAAGCCGUUCAAGUUCAGUUCAGCAGAUUCUGGUCUCUUUCCGCCAUUUGUGCAAUUAGAUCCAGCUGCAUUGAUGAAAAAUUUAGUAAUCUGAAUACAUGCAUGGAACUUUUGAAAAGUCGGUGCUCCCUUUUGCAAGAUCGCUGCGGAGGUUGAGGAACCAACGUUUCAUGCCAGGUUGAGACUAGGCAUUCUGAGGGUAUUUGCUAUUCCUGAUGUUACACGAAUUUUCUUUUAGCUCUUUAGCUCAGGAUAACUUGUGGUUGAUAUUUUAGCUUCUCUGUUAUUUUUACUUUCUAUUUUUUAAAACCUUAUGAAUUUAUAAAUUGCCAAAUCUUUUGCGUAUUCCCAAAUGCUGCGUAUGGGAGCAUGAAUUUUGGAUUGGUGGAUUUGGACAAAUUUCAAUACAAUUUUAUAUACAUCUCAUUUGAAACCAAUACAAAACCAAAUCCAAUACCUCUCCACUUAAAUUUGGAUGUAUUAUAUGAUGAGCACAGACACAAUUCAUGGGUAUGAUAUGGCAUGGAUACAUUGACACGAAUGGCAGAGAAACUAAUUAAUCAAUGUGUUAAUAUUAUAUUUAAAUAUAUAUUAUCUAGGACAGCUAUUGAUUGUUAAUAUUUAUGUAACAUUCUGUUGUGAGGUUAUACAUUGACAAGUCUUUUUCUUAUUCUAGAUCUAGAAGUUCAUGAGUUGAGUAUGUCAUAUUUGUGAUAUAUAUCAGUAGUGGAUGAGGUGCCUUGGCUUGAAGGUAGACUUCAGAUGGCUGAAGAGAGAGCCUAUAGGUGAAUAAGCUGGUAAGAGAGGAUGUAGAAUCAAGGAAAUGACUUGGGUGGAGUAACUUGCAUUCAUGUAUGUCCAAUCUUUUCAAUUUACAUGGUGUGUUAUUUCUAUGGAAUUGGAUGGAUGAAUUGAACGUAGGGAACUUCAUCUAAGUCAUUCUCUAGAAUUAAGGAGUGAAAGAAGUUGUUCUAAUGGCAACGGAAUGUGGACAAAUCACAAGUUUGUUGUUUAAGAUAUUGCGGGGGCACAGAAUUAUUAGAGUAGCACUGGAAGGUGCAGUGGGUGUGGAUGCUAUUUUCUAUUGGAAUUUCUUUUCCCCUUGGCUGCAGAUGCAUUCAAGGAGCAAAGGGCAAUGAAGAGAAUUUUGAAGAGAUGCCAAGGUGGCUUCUCUUGGAUAAAAUAUUGCAUCUGAGAUUAAUGGAACUGAGAAAGAAAGCAGCUGAGGGAUAGAGUAUUGAAUGCCUUGCUCUAGUUUCAUAUUCUCUUAAGACUUCGCUUCACAGGACUUGACAUGGUAAUUCUCUGUUGCAUAACUAAUAUUGCCAAUGCUACUGCUCCUGAACUAGAGCUCCCUGAAAACAGAGAACAUUGGCUAAAUUCUGGCAAGUUGCGUAAGAGGGUGUUUUUUAAGAGCAAAAGGUGUAUGUGGAGAGGAAAACAAUUGAGCCCUGCAUGUCCACUCAAAUAUGCUUCUUGCUGUAGGCAUCUGCUACUAUUGCAUUUAUCAACUCUCUUAGUAACUUGCUCCUGUUUCACACCUGUGAGUGCUGUCUAUAGACUCUAUACUAGCACCUUUAAGAAAUGUUGGUUUGUUUGCUCCUAAUAAUGUCAAGUCCAUGUUUGCUGAUGUUGAUUGUGAAUUGGUUUUCUCAUAUGCUUGCUUUAAGUUACUUGAGGAGCAAAUGAGCAAUACAUUUUUUUUUUUCUUUUCCUAAACAUGAUUUUAAAAAGAAGACACUAAAAUAAACUUGUUUUAAUUAAAAGAUCAUUUGGGGACUCACGUUUGGAGAAAUUCAAUAGCUCUUUUCACAAAAACAAUUUCUGAUUUUUUUAGCAGUAAUUCUUGACAUUGGUACUAAGUACUGAAAUUUUUACUUUUUAAUCAUAAUUAUUAAUUUCCCUCAAGAAGUCCCUUUUUGUCAUGGACUUGGAAAAGAAUCUUGAAAGCAAGAAUCACAGCUCAUCUUUGCUUCAGGAUCCUUACUGAUAAUGGUAACACUUUUUCUCUUAUGAUAAUUGACUUCCUGAUAGUCUAUUAAUUGAGCAUUCUGUUCUCAUCCCCCUUUUGAGUUUGGUCUUGCUAGUUGAUAAUUCUUGGUCUUGCUGAGAAGGAUAUAUCCAAUAAUUGCUGCAAUUAGGGCUGACGUGGACUUUUGCCCUGAUGCUUUUGUGGAGAAUAAAGCUCCCUGGAUUUCAAAGGCUCUUACCCAUGUUUGGAGACAGCUUGGAUUUGGAUUUUUAUUAGAUUUGAAUAAGAUAGAAUACAAAAUUGUAUUGAAAUUUAUCCAAAUUCUUUCAAAUCCAAGUCUAAGGUCCGAAACCCAUGCUCCCAAACACGGCAUUGAUGUGCUUUUGGAUUCACACUGCUUGGGACUAAAUAAGAGAGAAAUUUAGAUAUCAGUUGGUAUUCUCCGGUUUGGUUCAAGCGUCACAUUGGUGGACAGUCUUUCAUUGGUUCCAAUGCUGCAAAGGAGAUCAACUGCGGGAGAUACUGCAGGAAUGAAGAAUUAGUCAGAUUUGUGUUCUGGGCUCAAUUCGGCUGCUGUAGUCUGUAAGUUGGCUUGAGUUGCCUCGACCUACCACAUUUGGAAAUCAAGGAGCUUGACUGUUUGAGCAUAUACCUUUUGCUGGUAACUUUGCUACUGUUCAGUUAAUGCUGUUUGCUUGCAAAAAGUAGAUGUUCUGGUUUUAAUACAUCUGCUCUUAUUGAUGCAUUGGCUAUGAACUUUUGUAUACAUUUGUUCUUAUUCCAAGGCCUUAUUAAGCUUCCCCCGUGUACCCUUUGUCAUUUUAAUAUUGAGGUGUAACCGAGAAAUUUUUUGUGACAAAAUGAUGAAAUGACAUCUUUUUAAUAGAGAUUAGAUGUCUGGUUUUCU